AAUAGCUCGUCCAAUAACAAGACAACUAAUUUCGACUUAGUAAAUCGUGAUUUACUUCACGGCUAUUAA
RNAcentral lists this transfer RNA (69 nucleotides) under Malacochersus tornieri. RNAcentral's name for it is "tRNA-Arg". Lineage: Eukaryota; Metazoa; Chordata; Testudines; Testudinidae. The record is from RNAcentral.